UAGGGAAUCUUCGGCAAUGGACGAAAGUCUGACCGAGCAACGCCGCGUGAGUGAAGAAGGUUUUCGGAUCGUAAAACUCUGUUGUUAGAGAAGAACAAGGACGUUAGUAACUGAACGUCCCCUGACGGUAUCUAACCAGAAAGCCACGGCUAACUACGUGCCAGCAGCCGCGGUAAUACGUAGGUGGCAAGCGUUGUCCGGAUUUAUUGGGCGUAAAUCGAGCGCAGGCGGUUUCUUAAGUCUGAUGUGAAAGCCCCCGGCUCAACCGGGGAGGGUCAUUGGAAACUGGGAGACUUGAGUGCAGAAGAGGAGAGUGGAAUUCCAUGUGUAGCGGUGAAAUGCGUAGAUAUAUGGAGGAACACCAGUGGCGAAGGCGGCUCUCUGGUCUGUAACUGACGCUGAGGCUCGAAAGCGUGGGGAGCAAACAGG
Molecule: ribosomal RNA, 429 nt
Filed under: Chloroflexota bacterium
Lineage: Bacteria; Bacillati; Chloroflexota
Also listed under: 1 other name
Description: Chloroflexi bacterium partial 16S ribosomal RNA
Rfam family: Bacterial small subunit ribosomal RNA
Source: RNAcentral